UCCCUGGUGGCUCAGCUGGUAAAGAAUCCGCCUGCAAUGCGGGAGACCUGGGUUCGAUCCCUGGAUUGGGAA
This 72-nucleotide transfer RNA is filed under the name Ovis aries (sheep). It matches the Rfam family "tRNA". From Rfam's summary of the family: Transfer RNA (tRNA) molecules are approximately 80 nucleotides in length. Lineage: Eukaryota; Metazoa; Chordata; Mammalia; Artiodactyla; Bovidae. RNAcentral also lists the same sequence under 1 other name. The record is from Rfam by way of RNAcentral.